CAGAAAAGGGGUUCCCUUCAGCAGCGGUAAAUUUGGGUCCAUCACAGAAGAUUAGCACAGCCCCUGCACAAUGAGGACUCACGAAAACACAAACCAAUUCAUAUUUUA
Neomonachus schauinslandi (Hawaiian monk seal) is the source of this 108-nucleotide small nuclear RNA. The record is from RefSeq and is a predicted model, not a curated record. Lineage: Eukaryota; Metazoa; Chordata; Mammalia; Carnivora; Phocidae.